GCCCAGAUGACGAGUCCCAAAUAGGAUGAAACGUGUGUCCUGAAU
This 45-nucleotide non-coding RNA is filed under the name Schistosoma margrebowiei. Lineage: Eukaryota; Metazoa; Platyhelminthes; Trematoda; Strigeidida; Schistosomatidae. The record is from RNAcentral.